UACGAAGGACCCAAGCGUUAUCCGGAUUUAUUGGGUUUAAAGGGUGCGUAGGCGGAUUAUUAAGUCAGUGGUGAAAGCUCCCGGCUCAACCGGGAAAUUGCCAUUGAUACUGAUGAUCUUGAGUAUGAUUGAGGUGGGCGGAAUGUGUCAUGUAGCGGUGAAAUGCUUAGAUAUGACACAGAACACCGAUUGCGAAGGCAGCUCACUAAGUCAUAACUGACGCUGAGGCACGAAAGCGUGGGGAGCAAACAGG
RNAcentral lists this ribosomal RNA (253 nucleotides) under uncultured bacterium. RNAcentral describes it as "partial 16S ribosomal RNA". It matches the Rfam family "Bacterial small subunit ribosomal RNA", at positions 524 to 776 of the family's 1533-position model. The record is from RNAcentral.